GCUGAGACUUUGGUCACAUCCUGACAUGGCACUUAUCCUGGCGUGCUAGAGCUCUUGAAGAAAAUCUGCUGGUCUUCAUUCACUGAUAGGCGUCUUCAGUGUCCCUGUUAGUGCCCAGAUUAGAAACAUGU
Small nucleolar RNA from Rattus norvegicus (Norway rat), 131 nucleotides. Ensembl annotates it as small nucleolar RNA SNORA3/SNORA45 family. NCBI's taxonomy places the organism in Eukaryota, Metazoa, Chordata, Mammalia, Rodentia, Muridae. The record is from Ensembl.